AAUCAACGCUGGCGGCGUGCCUCAGACAUGCAAGUCGAACGAUUAAAGCUCUCUUCGGAGAGUGUAUAGAGUGGCGCACGGGUGAGUAACACGUAAGUAAUCUACCCUCGAGUGGGGAAUAACAACCGGAAACGGUUGCUAAUACCGCAUAAUGCAGCGGCACCGCAAGGUGACAGUUGUUAAAGAUUUAUCGCUUGAGGAGGAGCUUGCGGCAGAUUAGCUAGUUGGUAGGGUAACGGCUUACCAAGGCUACGAUCUGUAACCGGUCUAAGAGGACGGUCGGUCACACUGACACUGAAUAACGGGUCAGACUCCUACGGGAGGCAGCAGUCGGGAAUUUUGGGCAAUGGGCGAAAGCCUGACCCAGCAACGCCGCGUGAAGGAAGAAGGCGCUCAGCGUUGUAAACUUCUUUUGGACGGGAACAAAGGCAUCACUGCGGUGGUGUUUGAGGGUACUGUCAGAAUAAGCACCGGCUAACUCCGUGCCAGCAGCCGCGGUAAAG
Molecule: ribosomal RNA, 503 nt
Filed under: uncultured bacterium
Lineage: Bacteria
Description: bacterial SSU rRNA
Rfam family: Bacterial small subunit ribosomal RNA
Source: RNAcentral